AUUGCUUCUCGUACUUUUGGCUUAGAUCAAAGUGUAGUAUAUGUUCUUUUCAGCUUAAUAUAUGAAAGUUCCCUCACCUUCGAGCAUGGGGUACUUACCAUCCUCGUGCUCCUUUAAAGUCAGUUAGACACAAACAUCGAUUGCCAAGGCACAUUAUUUUCCUAGUAAUACUGUAAAUGCUUGAAAAAAUUUAUUACA
Molecule: small nuclear RNA, 198 nt
Filed under: Operophtera brumata (winter moth)
Lineage: Eukaryota; Metazoa; Arthropoda; Insecta; Lepidoptera; Geometridae
Description: U2 spliceosomal RNA
Rfam family: U2 spliceosomal RNA
About the family: U2 is a small nuclear RNA (snRNA) component of the spliceosome (involved in pre-mRNA splicing). Complementary binding between U2 snRNA (in an area lying towards the 5' end but 3' to hairpin I) and the branchpoint sequence (BPS) of the intron results the bulging out of an unpaired adenosine, on the BPS, which initiates a nucleophilic attack at the intronic 5' splice site, thus starting the first of two transesterification reactions that mediate splicing.
Source: Rfam by way of RNAcentral